AUGAUGGCCGGCGCUCAAGAGCAAAGGCUCAAGCUGCUGGGGCCGGGGACCGGGGUGAGCAUGUACACGAUUCGCGUCCAGAUGGCGCUCUGCAUCAAGGAGCUGAGCUACGACUUCCUCCCCGAGGACCCCUGGAGCAAGAGCGACCUCCUCCUUGCGUCCAACCCCGUGUACAAGAAGCUCCCCGUCCUCAUCCACACUGGCAGACCCGUCUGCGAGUCGCUCAUCAUUGUGCAGUACCUUGACGACGCCUUCGCCGGCAACAGCACUUCCAUCCUCCCCACCGACCCCUACAGCCGUGCCGUCGCCCGCUUUUGGGCUUCCUACAUCGACGACAAGUUGUUCCCUUCAUGCAUCGGCAUUCUCAAGACGGCAAAGCAGCAUGAGAGAGCCGACAAGGUGGAGGAGACCUUGGCGGCGUUCGGGCUCUUAGAGGCCGCCCUGGCGGAGUGCUCCAAAGAAGGGGAGGCUGAGGCACUGUUCUUUGGCGGUGGCUCUCUCGGGCUGCUCGACAUUGCCCUGGGGUGCUAUCUUCCCUGGAUCAAAGCGAUAGGCCACCUUGCCGCCAUGCCGCCGUUCCUCGACGCGGCUAGGACACCAAAGCUGGCCGCGUGGGCGGAGCGGUUCAGGGCCGCCGAGCCGGUUAGGGCGCUGCUGCCUGCGGAGGACAAGGUGGAGGAGUACAUCUCAACGGUUCUUUAUCCAAAGUGGAACGCCGCGCUCACUGCGUCGGCAACUAAUUAG
Molecule: ribosomal RNA, 744 nt
Filed under: Triticum aestivum (bread wheat)
Lineage: Eukaryota; Viridiplantae; Streptophyta; Magnoliopsida; Poales; Poaceae
Description: partial small subunit ribosomal RNA
Source: RNAcentral